This 300-nucleotide ribosomal RNA is filed under the name uncultured Geobacter sp. RNAcentral's name for it is "bacterial SSU rRNA". It matches the Rfam family "Bacterial small subunit ribosomal RNA", at positions 496 to 795 of the family's 1533-position model. Lineage: Bacteria; Pseudomonadati; Thermodesulfobacteriota; Desulfuromonadia; Geobacterales; Geobacteraceae. The record is from RNAcentral.
GCGAUUCCCGUGCCAGAUGCAGCGGUAAAGCGGAGUAUGAGACUGUUAUGGGGAAUCACUGGUGUGAAAGGGGUAGUGGGUGGUGACUCAAGUCGGAGGUGAAAGGCCUGGUCUCGACUGAGGCAGUGCGGUUGAAACUGAAUGGCGAGAGUAUGUCAGGGGUGUGCGGAACUGCCAGUGUAACGGUGAAAUGUGUUGAGAUUGGCAGGAACACCGGAGGCGAAAGCGGCACACUGGGCAAUAACUGACGCUGAGGCACGAAAGCCAAGGGAGCGAACGGGAUUAGAUACCCGGGUAGUC